This 73-nucleotide transfer RNA is filed under the name Myotis lucifugus (little brown bat). It matches the Rfam family "tRNA". Rfam says of the family: Transfer RNA (tRNA) molecules are approximately 80 nucleotides in length. Their secondary structure includes four short double-helical elements and three loops (D, anti-codon, and T loops). Lineage: Eukaryota; Metazoa; Chordata; Mammalia; Chiroptera; Vespertilionidae. The record is from Rfam by way of RNAcentral.
GCCAGUCUGGCUCAGUGGAUAGAGCAUCAGCCUGCCGACUGAAGGGUCCUGGGUUCGAUUCCAGGCAAAAGCA